UGAGUAACGCGUGAGGAUCUGCCCUUAGGAGGGGAACAACAGUUGGAAACGACUGCUAAUGCCCCAUAUGCCGAGAGGUGAAAAGUUUUAUCGCCUGAGGAUGAACUCGCGUCUGAUUAGCUAGUUGGUGGGGUAAAGGCCCACCAAGGCGACGAUCAGUAGCUGGUCUAAGAGGAUGAUCAGCCACACUGGGACUGAGACACGGCCCAGACUCCUACGGGAGGCAGCAUUGGGGAAUUGU
This 241-nucleotide ribosomal RNA is filed under the name uncultured cyanobacterium. RNAcentral's name for it is "partial 16S ribosomal RNA". It matches the Rfam family "Bacterial small subunit ribosomal RNA", at positions 107 to 365 of the family's 1533-position model. Lineage: Bacteria; Bacillati; Cyanobacteriota. The record is from RNAcentral.